This is a long non-coding RNA of Helianthus annuus (common sunflower), 185 nucleotides long. RefSeq lists it as uncharacterized. NCBI's taxonomy places the organism in Eukaryota, Viridiplantae, Streptophyta, Magnoliopsida, Asterales, Asteraceae. The record is from RefSeq and is a predicted model, not a curated record. The transcript is spliced from 3 exons.
UUUAGGUAAGCAGCAAGAUUUCUAUGGCGGAAGCCUUAGCUAGGAGGAGCAUUUCGAUUGGGAUAGGGAGGUGCCCGAUGGAUUCAUGUGGAGUCAACAAACCAUAUAACUAUUAUAUACAAGGGUCAGUUGAAAUUGAACCAGUUGGAGUACUUUCAUGCAACGAAAGAACCACAACCUUAAUG